GACGAACGCUGGCGGCGUGCUUAACACAUGCAAGUCGAACGGAAAGGCCCUGCUUUUGUGGGGUGCUCGAGUGGCGAACGGGUGAGUAACACGUGAGUAACCUGCCCUUGACUUUGGGAUAACUUCAGGAAACUGGGGCUAAUACCGGAUAGGAGCUCCUGCUGCAUGGUGGGGGUUGGAAAGUUUCGGCGGCUGGGGAUGGACUCGCGGCUUAUCAGCUUGUUGGUGGGGUAGUGGCUUACCAAGGCUUUGACGGGUAGCCGGCCUGAGAGGGUGACCGGCCACAUUGGGACUGAGAUACGGCCCAGACUCCACGGGAGGCAGCAGUGGGGAAUAUUGCACAAUGGGCGGAAGCCUGAUGCAGCAACGCCGCGUGCGGGAUGACGGCCUUCGGGUUGUAAACCGCUUUCGCCUGUGACGAAGCGUGAGUGACGGUAAUGGGUAAAGAAGCACCGGCUAACUACGUG
Molecule: ribosomal RNA, 467 nt
Filed under: uncultured bacterium
Lineage: Bacteria
Description: partial 16S ribosomal RNA
Rfam family: Bacterial small subunit ribosomal RNA
Source: RNAcentral